GCCGGUGGCCAGAGCGCGGCGGAACCACCCGUUCCCAUCCCGAACACGGCAGUGAAACGUCGCAGCGCUGACGAUACUGGGGGCGCAAGCCUCUGUGGAAAAUAGGCCGCCGCCGGUG
RNAcentral lists this ribosomal RNA (118 nucleotides) under Chloroflexota bacterium. The record is from RNAcentral. Lineage: Bacteria; Bacillati; Chloroflexota.